This 1883-nucleotide unclassified non-coding RNA is filed under the name Hevea brasiliensis (rubber tree). The record is from RNAcentral. Lineage: Eukaryota; Viridiplantae; Streptophyta; Magnoliopsida; Malpighiales; Euphorbiaceae.
CCGCUCUCCCGCCAUUCUCUCUCUCCCUCUCGUCUCUCUCACCUAAUCGAACUUUCUGUUCAAUCUGUCUCUCGAACGCUGUCUGCAUUUUCAUGAGAAUCAUAUUGAUCCUUCUCUGGAGAAAUUGGCUCAGUUUCGUGUUAGAUUAAGUGAAUUAUUUCGCGAUGGCUGAAAAUUUAGAUUUGAUGAGGAAAACACCACCUGGGAUUUUGCUUUUAAGAAGCAUAAGAGGAAGAGGUUGGAGCCUGAACACCUAUAGAUAUGUGAUUCUGUUGAUUACUUUCAUCGCGUAUGCUUGUUAUCAUGCAUCCAGAAAACCCAGUAGCAUAGUCAAGAGUGUUUUGGAUCCUGAACCCAAUAAAUCCUCUGGUGAAUACCCGUGGCCAAUAGGGAACAUCUUUAUCAAAGAGGAAUUCCUGGGUGUGAACAAGGCUGGGGUGGAAGAUAAGGGUUGGUAUCCAUUUAAUGGACCAGAUGGGACAUCGAAAUUAGGUGAGAUUGAUGUUGCUUUUCUUGCUUGUUAUUCUUUGGGUAUGUAUGUUGCUGGGCAUUUGGGUGAUACCUUGGAUUUGAGGUUGUUUUUGACAUCCGGGAUGAUUGGUAGUGGCAUUUUCGUGGGGCUAUUUGGGAUGGGAUACUUUUGGAAUAGUCAUGUUUUUGGGUUUUAUUUGAUUAUGCAAAUGCUCGCUGGGUUGUUUCAAGCCACUGGUUGGCCUUCUGUUGUGGCUGUGAUUGGUAAUUGGUUCGGAAAGAGGAAGAGGGGAUUGAUAAUGGGUGUUUGGAAUGCACAUACUUCUGUUGGGAAUAUUUGUGGGUCUCUUCUUGCUGCUAGUGUUUUGGAUUAUGGCUGGGGAUGGUCUUUUAUAGUUCCAGGUGCGUCUAUUGUAGUGGGAGGGAUAUUAGUUUUCUUGUUCUUGGCUGCAUAUCCAGAAGAUGUUGGAUUUCCUUGCGCAAAUUGCCCGAGAGAAAAGGUAGAGGCUGUGUCUAGUGAUAUGGAGGCUCAGGCAAACAAAGGAAGUACAGUGCAAUCAGAGAACAAUAACAUGGUCCGAUCUGGUUCUGCGUUUAAGAAAAGUGUGGGGCUUAUUGAAGCUUGUUUGAUACCUGGAGUGAUACCAUUUGCAUUGUGCUUAUUUUUCUCGAAGCUUGUGGCUUACACAUUUUUGUACUGGCUACCAUUUUAUCUGAGCCAGACAGAAAUUGGUGGAGAGUAUGUAUCUGUGAAGUCUGCUGGAAACCUGUCUACUCUUUUUGAUGUUGGGGGCAUUGUUGGGGGGAUCCUUGCUGGUUACAUAUCUGAUAAACUUAGAGCUAGGGCUAUUACAGCAACCAGUUUUAUGUAUGCUGCAAUUCCUUCCAUUUUCUUGUACCGUGCAUAUGGUAGUGUCUCAAAGACUAUGAACAUUGUGCUUAUGAUGAUUGCUGGCUUAUUUGUAAAUGGGCCAUAUGCACUCAUCACAACUGCAGUUUCUGCUGACUUGGGCACACACAGUUCUCUGAGAGGGGAUUCUCGAGCAUUGGCAACCGUGACUGCCAUUAUUGAUGGCACUGGAUCAAUUGGUGCAGCUCUUGGUCCUCUUUUCACUGGUUUCCUUUCUACAAUGGGAUGGGAUGCAGUUUUUAUGAUGCUGAUGGUUUGUGCUCUUAUUGCGGGGCUUCUUUUAUCACGUCAGGUCAUAGCUGAAGUUACUGAGAAAACUAGAAAACUGAGGCCUUCAUCUAGUGAACGUCAAAGUCAUGAAGCACCUGCAUCCCAGCCACUUUUAAGUGACCAAAGGUGAAAAUCAGGUAAGGCCUCAGGAAAAUGACAAUCGAGAACAAAGUUGAAAAAUAGGCUAAUUAACAUACCUAAAAUAAUAGUCUGAAAUAUCAAACAGGAAAGA